AUUUAUAGCCAUUAGAGACUAUAAUUAACCGACCAGCUGUGUGUUAUCUGCCCGGUGGGAGCAGCGCUGAGAGGCAGCCAGCUCCAACGGGCCAUGAGCUGCCCCAUCCCUGCUAGCAGCCCUGCUCGUUUGGCAUCCCUGAAGGAUUUUGCUCUGCUUCGGGCUUGGGGCUUUUCCAUUUAUCUCCUCCUUCCCUAACGUUUGGCUCAGCCGGCUCUCUCUGACUCUCCCUACUCCCCCGUAUCUCCUCCUACAAGGUCACAAACUCGGAUUUACGCUCGGAGUUCACAUGGCUGGGCAGACCAGUUUGGACCAGCUCGUUAUCAACGCAUUCCCAGCCCCCAGCCAGAGCCACAGCUACGGGCAGAGCGGAGACGAAGCAGAUGGUUGUUAAGCAUCGGGAAAACCAUGCGUCGGCCCGCGCCUGGCCCAGGUGCCUGCGCCUAGCACGGACACAUCUGCCUGGUGCUAACAACCUCGGGGACGCCACUCCCGGUGGAAAUGCAGCCGGAGGGGGCUGAGGAGAGGCUGUAGGCGCCCCGGCGGAGCUGCUUUGUGCCUGGUAAAACCUCGGAUCGCUGCCUGGUGCUGCGUGGGGGGCUGGCCAUGCUGCCAGCAGACCCCAAACCCAGCGGCGGUGCCAGGAGGUGAGCGGUCCCCCGGUGCCACGGCGUCCCCGAGCGGCUCUCGGUGAACCUCUCGCUGCUCCCGGUGUCCUCAGAGGGGCAGAGGCCAGGCCGACGUCCCAGCACGAUGUUCUCCAACAGGUUCCACAGGAGGGGGUUCCAGGAUGCUCCCUGGGAGGAGGGGCCGUGGCAGCCCAGACCCUACGGUGCCGGCCCCCAGGACAACCGGUACAAGCCGUCCUGGGAGCACCAGCCCUGGAGAGGCAGGCACAACAGGCACCCGGUAAGGGGGUUUGUUGGGGUUUGUGGGGUGCUUUUGGGGUUUGUGGGG
RNAcentral lists this long non-coding RNA (957 nucleotides) under Anas platyrhynchos (mallard). RNAcentral's name for it is "lncRNA (ENSAPLG00020015690.1)". Lineage: Eukaryota; Metazoa; Chordata; Aves; Anseriformes; Anatidae. The record is from RNAcentral.